RNAcentral lists this small RNA (75 nucleotides) under Xanthomonas dyei pv. laureliae. Its description in RNAcentral is "sX9 sRNA". It matches the Rfam family "Xanthomonas sRNA sX9". Lineage: Bacteria; Pseudomonadati; Pseudomonadota; Gammaproteobacteria; Lysobacterales; Lysobacteraceae. The record is from RNAcentral. RNAcentral also lists the same sequence under 2 other names.
AUGCACCUCCAGUACGCCCCGUUUUCCUCCGCGCCUUCCGCGCCCACCUGACGUGCUCGCUAUGUUUUUUGAGCC